This 979-nucleotide ribosomal RNA is filed under the name uncultured bacterium. Its description in RNAcentral is "bacterial SSU rRNA". It matches the Rfam family "Bacterial small subunit ribosomal RNA", at positions 131 to 1104 of the family's 1533-position model. The record is from RNAcentral.
CUUAAGUGGGGAAUAACGCAUCGAAAGUUGCGCUAAUACCGCAUACGUUCUACGGAAGAAAGUGGGGGAUCUUCGGACCUCAUGCUUUUGGAGCGGCCGAUGUCUGAUUAGCUAGUAGGUAGGGUAAAGGCCUACCUAGGCGACGAUCAGUAGCUGGUCUGAGAGGACGACCAGCCACACUGGAACUGAGACACGGUCCAGACUUCUACGGGAGGCAACAGUGGGGAAUUUUGGACAAUGGGCGCAAGCCUGAUCCAGCAAUGCCGCGUGAGUGAAGAAGGCCUUCGGGUUGUAAAGCUCUUUUGUCAGGGAAGAAACGGUUCCGGCUAAUAUCCGGGGCUAAUGACGGUACCUGAAGAAUGAGCACCGGCUAACUACGUGCCAGCAGCCGCGGUAAUACGUAGGGUGCAAGCGUUAAUCGGAAUUACUGGGCGUAAAGCGUGCGCAGGCGGUUUUGUAAGUCUGUCGUGAAAGCCCCGGGCUCAACCUGGGAAUUGCGAUGGAGACUGCAAGGCUUGAAUCUGGCAGAGGGGGGUAGAAUUCCACGUGUAGCAGUGAAAUGCGUAGAGAUGUGGAGGAACACCGAUGGCGAAGGCAGCCCCCUGGGUCAAGAUUGACGCUCAUGCACGAAAGCGUGGGGAGCAAACAGGAUUAGAUACCCUGGUAGUCCACGCCCUAAACGAUGUCUACUAGUUGUCGGGUUUUAAUUAACUUGGUAACGCAGCUAACGCGUGAAGUAGACCGCCUGGGGAGUACGGUCGCAAGAUUAAAACUCAAAGGAAUUGACGGGGACCCGCACAAGCGGUGGAUGAUGUGGAUUAAUUCGAUGCAACGCGAAAAACCUUACCUACCCUUGACAUGGAAGGAAUCCUGAAGAGAUUUGGGAGUGCCCGAAAGGGAACCUUCACACAGGUGCUGCAUGGCUGUCGUCAGCUCGUGUCGUGAGAUGUUGGGUUAAGUCCCGCAACGAGCGCAACCC